Molecule: ribosomal RNA, 497 nt
Filed under: uncultured bacterium
Lineage: Bacteria
Description: partial 16S ribosomal RNA
Rfam family: Bacterial small subunit ribosomal RNA
Source: RNAcentral
GAUGAACGCUGGCGGCAUGCCUAACACAUGCAAGUCGAGCGAACAGACGAGGAGCUUUCUCCUCUUACGUUAGCGGCGGACGGGUGAGUAACACGUAGAUAACCUACCUAUAAGACUGGGAUAACUACGGGAAACCGGAUCUAAUACCGGAUAAUAUGUUGAACCGCAUGGUUCAAUAGAUAUAGACGGUUUUGCUGUCACUUAUAGAUGGAUCCGCGCCGGAUUAGCUAGUUGGUAAGGUAACGGCCUACCAAGGCAACGAUGCGUAGCCGACCUGAGAGGGUGAUCAGCCACACUGGAACUGAGACACGGUCCAGACUCCUACGGGAGGCAGCAGUGGGGAAUAUUGCGCAAUGGGCGAAAGCCUGACGGAGCAACGCCGCGUGAGUGAAGAAGGUCUUCGGAUCGUAAAGCUCUGUUAUUAGGGAAGAACAAAAGUGUGAGUAACUAUGCCUGUCUUGACGGUACCUAAAGAAAAAGCCACGGCUAACUACGUG